This is a non-coding RNA of Salmo salar (Atlantic salmon), 3787 nucleotides long. NCBI's taxonomy places the organism in Eukaryota, Metazoa, Chordata, Actinopteri, Salmoniformes, Salmonidae. The record is from RefSeq and is a predicted model, not a curated record.
UCCCCUUUCUCUCCGCCUUCCCCUUCUCCAGACAGAAGCAACCGAUCCCAGUCUCAGAAGCAAGUUAGAUCAGAUUCUGUCGCAAGCGUUAACCCCAGACCAGACAAACACCCAGACAACCUCAGAGGCCAGCAUCGAAGCCCAAUCAAAGAUAGUGUAUAGAGUCAUCAAAAACCAGCCACCCCCAUCCUUUCCAUUGAACUGGACCACAACCCCUUCAAGUGCAAGGCUCCUGGCUGUCUGAAGUCCUUCCGGAAGGCCUCUCUCCUGCACUACCAUGUCAAGUACUACCAUGCAGACAGCGAACACCCCUCUGAGUGCAGCGUGCAGACCCGGGCAUCAGAGAAGCAGGUUGGCUCUCAAGAGACGCCUAGGAGGAGACGCAGCAUGUCAGGCUCUAUACACUCGCUCCUGGGUGACAGACAGACUGCCAUCGGAGUUAACCGUCAUCGUCGGAAAUCACUGAGUGAGAGAAGGAAGUAGAACCAGCAAACCAACAGCGGACCCCAUGAUGAAAGAGAAUGGGGCGUCAGUGAAACAGUGUUGGAGAGUAGGCUGGACUACACAGGGGAACUGGAACCUCCUGACCCGUUGACCCGAUUGCCUCAGCUCAAACAUCGCAUCAGACAGAUGGUCACAGACCUGGGCACCGUGCAUCAGAUGUCCCUCUGCUCCUCCAACACAUGAGUGUGCCACUGAGUUCAGCACUUCACCACAGAGACCUGGCUGGAGCAGGGCGCAGCAAGCAAGGCUACAGUACAAAUGAUGUGUGAGCAUGGUAGGGGAGUAACACAAACUGUCAUUAAUCCGUUAUUAUACCAACAAAACUAUUGUAAUCAGAUUACAGAUACUUUUGAAAAACUACAUUACUUCUUGGAUUACUUUUAAAAUCAGGAAAAAAUACAUUAUGACACCUUUCAGUUUUCUUAAUGACAUUCAAUUCAGCAUUUUUAAAAAGGCGCAAGUUUAAGUUUGUUCCAACUGAGCAAGUCUGACCGGAUGUCAGAGACCACUAUGAUGACACACCAAAUGCAUUUGAUGGAUCCUUUUCUGUCUUCUGUCCAAAAGUAACUGAAAGUAAUCAGAUUGAUAAUGAGUUUGGAUAAUCCAAAAGUUACGUAACUGAUUACAAUUGUGGACAGGUAACUGUAACGGAUUACAUUUUUGAAAGUAACCUACAGUCUCCAACCCUGUGUGUGGGUUACAGGGACAGAGACGUUAACAGGGGAUUCCUGACUGAGACACCUGCUACUACUGACGAUUCGAGAAUCAACAAUAUGAAAUGUCUGGCAACCUGCAUUCCUGCCACGGUGAUGCAGAGUGGAUAGGACAGGCUGCUUUUCUGAAAUGCAAGAAAAAUAAGAACAGAACAUAACCAUGUUCAACACGUUUAGUUUAUUAAUUCAACCAUUUUAAAAAACAAGCACACAUAAAACUUAAAAGCCAUACAUGCACAUGAAACUUAGGUUUUUGAUUGUAAGUCAACCCCUCCUAAUAAUGUAGUUCUUGCCAUUCAAUUUAAAACAUGGCUAAUACUUUGUUUUUCUAACAUAAAUAAUCUAUAUCCAACAGUGCUUUUUGAUUGGAUGGUUUUGCUGAAAGGUUCAAAUAAGGUUCAAAUGUAGACCGCUGUAGGCUUCAUCUUUUUUUCUACAGUUCUAUUAAAUGUUUGUAUAACAUUACACGUUUGUUCAAUGUAAGCACAUAGGAUUACAUAUGUUUCAAACGCAUAUUUUUGAUUAAUGUUUGAAUGAAAUGCAUUUGGAAACAAAUGGCUUAAUAAUGAUGUUUUAAGAUCAUAAGAAAUAAGGGUCACACUUUAUUUGGAUAGUCAGGAUUUUCCAUCUGUAGAUACUCUACAGAUAGUAUGGCCAUCUGUUGAUAAGCAACUGCUUGCUAAGGUUAGUGUUAGAGCUAGGGGUAGGGUUAGUAGAUGGUUAGUUGAAAUGUUACUGAUAGUCUGUAGACCAUCUACAGAUGGACUAUCCAAAAAGUCAUACAAAAAAAACAAGUCAUUUUUAAAGGGAGGGGAAAUAUUUGCAAAUAUUGUCCUGUCUUUUGAAUGUUCAGAAUGUUCUUGAGAAUAGAUGGUAUCUUUAUAUUGUCCUUUUUAAUAACAAAUGUUUCUUUCCUCAUAGAUAUUGAAGUAGUAUAGUAUACAAAGUUAUUUAGAGGACAUUGCCAAUAUUAAUGCUUUUGCAAACAAACUGUAUAUUUUGUGAAUUGUAAUACUCUGUUAAGAUAUUUCUCUUUGAUUGAAAUAUUUAGUUGUGAUGUUUGUUUUGUUUUUUUGUUCUUAUUUCAUGUUUUUCCCCGCCUGGCACUGUGCUCUUAUCCUUUUAUAUAUUGUGAUUCAGAAUUUAAUUUAUCAUUUUUUUAAUUGCAUCUUUUAAUCAGUAAAGUAAUGGUAUGUAUAGCACGUAGUCCAUAGAGUAUAGGACUGUGUCACAGUAUAUUUAGUACUGAUAUACGCAGUACAUUGCCUGUGUAUCCUUCUCUGGUGGGUAAAACUAGAGGAUGUGUGUGUGCGUAUAUGUGUGGACUGGAGAGCAGUGGGGAAAAGCAGAUGGAGCCAGCCCAGCAUAUGGCCCCACAGUGUGUAGUCAGAAGGCUCUGGAGUCCCCUUAUGGUAGUGCCACCCAGAUUUUUAUAUUGGAAUUAAAGCGCAUACCUCUGCGUUUCCUUGUACCAUAUCAGGAAUAUUACUUUGGUUUCUUUCUAUUGUGCAUUUUCUUAAUCUUUGCAUGUGAAAUGGGUAUUUUAUUUAACUAGGCAAGUCAGUUAAGAACAAAUUCGAAUUUACAAUAAUGGCCUACCCCGGCCAAACCCUAACGACCCUGGGCCAAUUGUGCGCCGCCCUAUGGGGCUCCCAAUCACGGCCGGUUGUGAUACAGCCUGGAAUCAAACCAGGGUCUGUAGUGACGCCUCUAGCACUGAGAUGCAGUGCCUUAGACCACUGUACCACUCUGGAGCCCCAAAUUGACAUGUGACUUUGACCUGACCCAUUUCAGAAUUAUUUGUUUUCACUUACUGUUUGUUUCAAUGGUUAAUAAUACUUUAUACUUCAGCACAAAAGGUGCAUUUAAUUAUUAUUCCCCAAGUUGCUAGCAACAUUAGCUUACUACUGAUGGUAUUAGCCAUGUAGAUACUAAGCAUAACUGACAUGGAUACAUUAAUUUGAAGUACCAGAGAUCUAUCAAAUCUUGCUAGCUACCGAGCGCAGUCGGUAAGUUAUAUUCGCAACGAUGUUCACGCUGUCUGUUGGUUUCACUGCUUUGCUCACCUCGCUCCACCCGCUCACUACUGGUGAGUUUUAGCUGUUUUAGUAAACGCAUCAACUACUCUCAUUAAGCUAACUUCCAACAUUUUAAUUAACAGCCAUUUAACCAGAAAUGUCAAAUUAUUGCACAUUCUAAUCAUUUAUUUAUUUAACUAGAAAAGUCCGUUAAGAACAAAUUCUAAUUUACAAUGAUGGCCUACCUCGGCAAAACCCUAAUGAUGCUGGGCCAAUUGUGCGCCGCCCUAUGGGACUCCCAAUCACGGUCGGUUGUAAUACAGCCUGGAAUCAAACCAGGGUCUGUAGUGACCCCUCUAGCAAAUUGACGUUUGAUGUGACCCAUUUCAGAAUGACUUAUUUUCCCUUACUGUUUGUUUCAAUGGUUAAUAAUAUUUUAUAUUUCAGCUGUAUGUUGGCAGCGGCAGACUUAUCAAUGUAUGUUUUUUUUAAUAUAUUCGAUUUUAUCAUGAGAGGACUGAGAUUUUUUGUUUAAGAAAUAAUUAUUUAAGA